RNAcentral lists this small RNA (342 nucleotides) under Pongo abelii (Sumatran orangutan). RNAcentral's name for it is "retained intron". Lineage: Eukaryota; Metazoa; Chordata; Mammalia; Primates; Hominidae. The record is from RNAcentral.
CAGCUGGAGGCUCUGUGUGUGGCAGCCUGGAGACCCCACAACCUCCAGCCAGAGGCCUGAAGCAUGAGGCCAUGCCAGGUGCCAGAUGAUGCUGGGAAUUUUCCCGAGUGCUUCGGGUCUUCCCAGCACACUGGUCUCACCCACCCUGCCUCUCGGGCUCUGCCCAGCUUCCUGAGUCCUGACAGAGCACAGUGGGGGAGAUGUUGGCAGAAGUGGCAGAUGGGCUCAUGGCCAUCCCUCCUGCAGGAGCAGCAGCUGGAGCCAGAGCCAUGUGGCUGUGCCCUCUGGCCCUCACCCUCACCUUGACGGCAGCCUCUGGUGCUGCGCACGAAGGGAAGGACG